RNAcentral lists this ribosomal RNA (940 nucleotides) under Mucor irregularis. Its description in RNAcentral is "eukaryotic LSU rRNA". It matches the Rfam family "Eukaryotic large subunit ribosomal RNA", at positions 81 to 929 of the family's 3401-position model. Lineage: Eukaryota; Fungi; Mucoromycota; Mucoromycetes; Mucorales; Mucoraceae. The record is from RNAcentral.
UAGUAACGGCGAGUGAAGAGGAAAGAGCUCAAAGUUGGAACCUGUUUGGCUUAGCUAAACCGGAUUGUAAACUGUAGAAGUGUUUUCCAGACACGCCUGGUAAAAAAGUCCUUUGGAACAGGGCAUCAUAGAGGGUGAGAAUCCCGUCAUUGGCCAGAGCUGUUGUCUUUUGUGAUACAUUUUCAAAGAGUCAGGUUGUUUGGGAAUGCAGCCUAAAUUGGGUGGUAAAUCUCACCUAAAGCUAAAUAUUUGCGAGAGACCGAUAGCGAACAAGUACCGUGAGGGAAAGAUGAAAAGAACUUUGAAAAGAGAGUUAAACAGUAUGUGAAAUUGUUAAAAGGGAACCGUUUGGAGCCAGACUGGCUUGAUCGUAAUCACUCUAGGCUUUGGCCUGGAUGCACUUGCGGUCUAUGCCGGCCAACGACAGUUUUGUUUGAGGGAAAAAAUUACAUUGAAUGUGGCCCUUCGGGGUGUUAUAGCUUUGUAAAAAAUACCUUGGACGGGACUGAGGAACGCAGCGAAUGCCUUUAGGCGAGAUUGCUGGGUGCUUGCGCUGAUACAUGCUAGAAUUUCUGCUUCGGGUGGUGCUAGUGUGUAAAGGAGUAACCCGCUUAGUAUAUUUUUUAUUCGCUUAGGUUGUUGGCUUAAUGACUCUAAAUGACCCGUCUUGAAACACGGACCAAGGAGUCCACCAUUAGUGCAAGUAUUUGGGUGACAAACCCAUAUGCGCAAGGAAACUGAUUGAUACGAAGGCGCAAGCUGGCAGUAUCACCCGGCGUUGACGUUUUAUACUGAACUGACCGAGGUAAAGCACUAAUGAUGGGACCCGAAAGAUGGUGAACUAUGCCUGAAUAGGGUGAAGCCGGAGGAAACUCCGGUGGAGGCUCGUAGCGAUUCUGACGUGCAAAUCGAUCGUCAAAUUUGGGUAUAGGGGCGAAAG